UCGGGGGCAUCAGUAUUCAAUUGUCAGAGGUGAAAUUCUUGGAUUUAUUGAAGACUAACUACUGCGAAAGCAUUUGCCAAGGAUGUUUUCAUUUAUCAGGAACGAAAGUUAGGGGAUCGAAGACGAUCAGAUACCGUCGUAAUCUUAACCAUAAACUAUGCCGACCAGGGAUCGGACGAUGUUAUUUUUUGACUCGUUCGGCACCUUACGAGAAAUCAAAGUGCUUGGGCUCCAGGGGGAGUAUGGUCGCAAGGCUGAAACUUAAAGAAAUUGACGGAAGGGCACCACCAGGGGUGGAGCCUGCGGCUUAAUUUGACUCAACACGGGGAAACUCACCAGGUCCAGACACAAUGAGGAUUGACAGAUUGAGAGCUCUUUCUUGAUUUUGUGGGUGGUGGUGCAUGGCCGUUCUUAGUUGGUGGAGUGAUUUGUCUGCUUAAUUGCGAUAACGAACGAGACCUUAACCUGCUAACUAGCCCGUAUUGCUUUGGCAGUACGCUGGCUUCUUAGAGGGACUAUCGGCUCACGCCGAUGGAAGUUU
Molecule: ribosomal RNA, 541 nt
Filed under: Colletotrichum gloeosporioides
Lineage: Eukaryota; Fungi; Ascomycota; Sordariomycetes; Glomerellales; Glomerellaceae
Description: SSU rRNA
Rfam family: Eukaryotic small subunit ribosomal RNA
Source: RNAcentral